CAGCACACACGCGCGCGCAGAACUCAUCGUCCCUGCACCAACAUUACCGUACAAAAAGUCGUGGGCUCCCUCCCGUGGACCUGUACAUCAUCGUCAUUAGAGAACGCCCGUUUCCACCCACCGCCUCUCUCUCCCCCCACUACGCACACACACCGCCUUCGUAGCUGCAGCGUCACCUCCCACAGCAGAAGGAUGAACGGGUGGUUGAUUGCGUUGAUCGUGAUGGGGUGCCUCAGCACGCUCUACUUAGCCAUUGGCAUCGCCGUCCGCUACCACAGCGGUCUGCACCACUGCCCAGAGGUGCUGCCCAACUACCGCUUCUGGUGCAGCAUCCUGAACGUUUUCUUGCGCGUGGCAACAUGCGGUCGCUGUCGCGUUUCGAUUGACCGCAGCAACCGUGCAAGCGGCAUCUUUGUGCUGCCAAGUCGCCCCGGCGCCGCGGCGUCUCCGCGGAGGGUGCAGUUCGAGCUAUUAGCCAGCGACGCCGAUGACGACUACGACAUCAAUCGUGCCAUGCAGCCGGCGGAGGUAGUGGUGAAGUACUGAGGGGCUGCAUGGACAAGGGCACACGCGCUUUAUUCAAUGUGACGUGAAGGGCGGAAGAAGUGAACCAGAGACCAACACGUGUAGCCAGAGAAAAUGGGGUGUCGGUGACCAUCAGGAGGAGGAGGAGAGGGCGGGCUUCCUUCCUCCACCCCGCCUUGAUGGUUUAGGGGGGUGUACACCACUCUCUCUCUCAGUGUGUGUGUGUGUGUGUGUGUGUGUCGGUGGCAUGACCUACGGGGUAUCCACUUCCUUCGUCUCCCUCAGUCGGUGUGCCCCCUUCCCACUUGAGUUUCUCGCUUAGUUUUUGUUGCUGGUCGCAUGAUGCUGCUUCUCGUUUUUAGGUUGCUGGCAAAUGCGCAUGCAUGUGUGCCUGCGGGCGGGGUUUGGAAGCGAAGUUGGAGAGAAGGGGGAGGCAUCCUUCCCACCCCGUCGGCGCGGCCUGUCGGCCACCCCUUUCCUUUGCUGGUUGCUUGCUUCCACGGCUCUGGCUCGAGUAUGUUCUUUCCGGUGCAAGUGCGUCGGUGCAUGUGUGUGAAGGCAUGGGAAUGGGGGGUUAGGGAUGAGGGGUCCCCAUCUCCCUCACCCCACACCUUUAAAGCGUCUCACCGCAGCCCCAAGCACUCCAUCCACGUAUCACCCUUCUCUCUCGCCGCCCCUCUCCUGCUGUGCCAG
RNAcentral lists this unclassified non-coding RNA (1218 nucleotides) under Leishmania donovani. Its description in RNAcentral is "gene:LdHU3.24.1060(CDS-product:hypothetical_prote in_conserved)". Lineage: Eukaryota; Euglenozoa; Kinetoplastea; Trypanosomatida; Trypanosomatidae. The record is from RNAcentral.